This 208-nucleotide long non-coding RNA is filed under the name Elaeis guineensis (African oil palm). RNAcentral describes it as "long non-coding RNA (EGUI_LNC046414)". The record is from RNAcentral. Lineage: Eukaryota; Viridiplantae; Streptophyta; Magnoliopsida; Arecales; Arecaceae.
CCUGUGUCCAAUCAAUAACAUCAGAAGAUCAUCUGAUACAUCACUCUUAGCCACUGCACUGGAUGACUCCAGUCUGAAACCUUCUCCCUUUUCUUUCUUCCUUUGAGGACAAUCUCUCUUCAUGUUCUCUAGCUGCCUGCACAUAUAACACCUUACCUCUUUGAUACUCCUUGGGGAAUUCUGCCUUCUCGCUGCCUUGCAUCUAUCC